UACAGAGGGUGCAAGCGUUACUCGGAAUUACUGGGCGUAAAGCGUGCGUAGACGGUUACAUAAGUCGGAUGUGAAAGCCCCGGGCUCAACCUGGGAAUUGCAUUCGAGACUGUGUAGCUAGGAUGCGGAAGAGGGAAGCGGAAUUUCCGGUGUAGCGGUGAAAUGCGUAGAUAUCUGGAGGAACACCGGUGGCGAAGGCGGCAUCCUGGACCGACACUGACGCUGAGGAGCGAAAGCCAGGGGAGCAAACGGG
RNAcentral lists this ribosomal RNA (253 nucleotides) under uncultured bacterium. RNAcentral's name for it is "partial 16S ribosomal RNA". It matches the Rfam family "Bacterial small subunit ribosomal RNA", at positions 524 to 776 of the family's 1533-position model. The record is from RNAcentral.